Fukomys damarensis (Damara mole-rat) is the source of this 107-nucleotide small nuclear RNA. Lineage: Eukaryota; Metazoa; Chordata; Mammalia; Rodentia; Bathyergidae. The record is from Ensembl.
GUGCUCGCUUCGGCAGCAUAUAUACUAAAAUUGGAACGAUACAGAGAAAAUUAGCAUGGCCCCUGCGCAAGGAUGACACGCAAAUUCGUGAAGCAUUCCAUAUUUUU